Molecule: ribosomal RNA, 514 nt
Filed under: uncultured bacterium
Lineage: Bacteria
Description: partial 16S ribosomal RNA
Rfam family: Bacterial small subunit ribosomal RNA
Source: RNAcentral
AACGAACGCUGGCGGCGUGCCUAAUACAUGCAAGUCGAGCGAACAGAUGAGAAGCUUGCUUCUCUGAUGUUAGCGGCGGACGGGUGAGUAACACGUGGGUAACCUACCUAUAAGACUGGGAUAACACCGGGAAACCGGGGCUAAUACCGGAUAAUAUUUUGAACCGCAUGGUUCAAUAGUGAAAGACGGUUUCGGCUGUCCCUUAUAUAUUGACCCGCGCCGGAUUAGCUAGUUGGUAAGGUAACGGCUUACCAAGGAGACGAUACGUAGCCGACCUGAGAGGGUGAUCGGCCACACUGGAACUGAGACACGGUCCAGACUCCUACGGGAGGCAGCAGUAGGGAAUCUUCCGCAAUGGGCGAAAGCCUGACGGAGCAACGCCGCGUGAGUGAUGAAGGUCUUCGGAUUGUAAAACUCUGUUGUUAGGGAAGAACAAAUUUGUUAGUAACUGAACAAGUCCUGACGGUACCUAACCAGAAAGCCACGGCUAACUACGUGCCAGCCGCCGCAGUAC